UACAGAGGGUGCAAGCGUUGUUCGGAUUUACUGGGCGUAAAGGGCGUGUAGGCGGAUGCGCAAGCCGGUGGUGAAAUACCCGGGCUCAACCCUGGUGGGUCUGCCGGAACUGCGCGUCUAGAGAGGGCGAGAGGCAGGUGGAAUUCCUGGUGUAGAGGUGAAAUUCGUAGAGAUCAGGAGGAACACCGGCGGCGAAGGCGGCCUGCUGGAGCCACUCUGACGCUGAGGCGCGAAAGCGUGGGUAGCAAACAGG
Molecule: ribosomal RNA, 253 nt
Filed under: uncultured bacterium
Lineage: Bacteria
Description: partial 16S ribosomal RNA
Rfam family: Bacterial small subunit ribosomal RNA
Source: RNAcentral